Molecule: long non-coding RNA, 605 nt
Organism: Solanum pennellii
Lineage: Eukaryota; Viridiplantae; Streptophyta; Magnoliopsida; Solanales; Solanaceae
Exons: 2
Source: RefSeq, a predicted model, not a curated record
UCUAUUUUUUUUCUCGCGUUUCUCUCAAUUUUUUCAGCAGAUUUCAUUUUUUUUAUUGAUUGAAUAUAUUUUGCUGUUGAAAAAACGUGAUUUGCUGUGAUGGACAAUAAAAUAUCUAUAUUAAUUAAACAUGGUGAAAGGUGAAAUUCAUCAGGUCAAUAUGUCGAUUUUCAGAUGGAGGGAGAUUUCAACGUUAUGAAAUACCAUGUGGUCAUGUAAUCGUAGUUCUUUGAUACAGAAAGUUGCAUGAAGCAAAUUUCUGUUCUACUUUUUUAGUCUGAAGAAUUUUAAAGAUGCAUAUGUCAUCCCUGUUGAACCUAUCACAUGCGAGAGUACAUGGGAUAUACUAAGUUAUAUUUCAGAGCCUAAAUGAUGCCACCCGGUCCAAAGAGAACAUCGGAAAUACCAAAACAUGAACGAUGGAAGGGGUUUGCUGACGUGAAAUUUAAAAGGUCAAAAAUCACUUGCAGUAGAUGUCGUCAAGUUGGACAUAACAGAAAGAUAUGUUCAAAUUAUCUAGUGCUUAAAAAAUAAUUUCUUGUGUUUAUGUUGUUUUGACUGUUAGACACAAUUUUUUAUGUACGUAUUGCAUUUUGGUAUCAAAA